AUUGAACGCUGGCGGCAGGCCUAACACAUGCAAGUCGAGCGGAAGAAGGGAGCUUGCUCCUGGAUUCAGCGGCGGACGGGUGAGUAAUGCCUAGGAAUCUGCCUGGUAGCGGGGGAUAACGUCCGGAAAUGGGCGCUAAUACCGCAUACGCCCUGAGGGAGAACGUGGGGGAUCUUCGGACCUCACGCUAUCAGAUGAGCCUAGGUCGGAUUAGCUAGUUGGUGGGGUAAAGGCCUACCCAGGCGACGAUCCGUAACUGGUCUGAGAGGAUGAUCAGGCACACUGGAACUGAGACACGGUCCCGACUCCUACGGGAGGGAGCAGUGGGGAAUAUUGGACAAUGGGCGAAAGCCUGAUCCAGCCAUGCCGCGUGUGUGAAAAAGGUCUUCGGAUUGUAAAGCACUUUAAGUUGGGAGGAAAGGCAGUAAGUUAAUACCUUGCUGUUUUGACGUUACCAACAGAAUAAGCACCGGCUAACUUCGUG
Molecule: ribosomal RNA, 484 nt
Filed under: uncultured bacterium
Lineage: Bacteria
Description: partial 16S ribosomal RNA
Rfam family: Bacterial small subunit ribosomal RNA
Source: RNAcentral